GGUCCCUAUCCGUCGCGGGCGUUGGAAAUUUGAGAGGAGCUGUCCUUAGUACGAGAGGACCGGGAUGGACUUACCGCUGGUGUACCAGUUGUUCUGCCAAGGGCAUUGCUGGGUAGCUAUGUAGGGAAGGGAUAAACGCUGAAAGCAUCUAAGUGUGAAGCCCACCUCAAGAUGAGAUUUCCCAUUUCUUUAAGAAAGUAAGAUUCCUGAGAGAUGAUCAGGUAGAUAGGUCAGGAGUGGAAGUACAGUGAUGUAUGGAGCGGACUGAUACUAAUCGAUCGAGGACUUAACCAAU
This 295-nucleotide ribosomal RNA is filed under the name Enterococcus faecium. RNAcentral describes it as "partial 23S ribosomal RNA". It matches the Rfam family "Bacterial large subunit ribosomal RNA", at positions 2633 to 2925 of the family's 2925-position model. The record is from RNAcentral. Lineage: Bacteria; Bacillati; Bacillota; Bacilli; Lactobacillales; Enterococcaceae.